This 115-nucleotide ribosomal RNA is filed under the name endosymbiont of Pachyrhynchus infernalis. Lineage: Bacteria; Pseudomonadati; Pseudomonadota; Gammaproteobacteria. The record is from RNAcentral.
UUUGAUAUUCAUAACGUGAUGGAAACACCUGAUCCCAUUCCGAAUUCAGAAGUGAAAUAUCAUAGUGCCGAUGGUAGUAUAGAUUAUUCUAUGUUAGAGUAGGAAAAUAUCAUUU